Long non-coding RNA from Synchiropus splendidus (mandarinfish), 2001 nucleotides. RefSeq lists it as uncharacterized. NCBI's taxonomy places the organism in Eukaryota, Metazoa, Chordata, Actinopteri, Syngnathiformes, Callionymidae. The transcript is spliced from 6 exons. The record is from RefSeq and is a predicted model, not a curated record.
GCGGUGACUCCUAUAGAGAGUCAAACAGCUGUCGUCUUUGUGAGCACUUUAUCAGCUGGCACUGAUGCAUGAAGAAGAACAGGCUGACAGCUCCUACAUCUGCCUCACUUUUCCUCAUCUGUUUUGCUGUUGAGGAUUUGAAUCUAGUUGACCUGUGUAGGUUGGGAAUCUGUGCCACUGCUGCACUUGAAAUUCAAGUGGUUUGGCAGAGACCUCAGAAGAGCCCGGCUGAAAUGACUCGCUCUUAAAGGAAGGCUUCAAAUGUUGCAGUGCGUUAUGGGCCUUGCAAUAUGAAUAAAGAAAUGUUCCAGGUCAGGUAUAUGAAAUGGAAGGUCACAGGUGGCCCCGCCCCUCAAGCUUCUUCAUAACUUCAAGCAAACAGCGGUUAUUCAGCCAUGUUGCAGCCUCUAAAAUAUCCAAGCUGUAGUCAUGGAGACGUGUUUGCAUGUCGCACCGAUGAUCAUGAAUAAGUGGGAGUGUAGCCGAGCGAUUGCCACAGCAGGGAUGAGACGUAUCUGUUGCUAACUUCUCCGUUGUCACCACUGAGAGUGUGUCGCAUGUUAUUAUGCAUGGAAAUUAACUCUGCCUCUUUCUGAGCGAUAGGUACCAAAACAUCAGUGAUGCCUUCAUUGAUUCGCAUGUGGAGAGAGACUCAUGCUUAAGGCUGCCAGUUAUUUGACUGCUGAAGACAUGAGCCAGCGCGUCAACCAAAAAUGGUGUGCUGCUACUGCCACCUGCUGGCGCUUAUGGAGUGGAAGACCUGAAGUCUUGCUGCCGUCCAGAUCUCAACGAAGAACGCAUUCCCCAAGCUUCCGGAGCUGGAAGAGUGAGUCACGCCAGGCUGAAUAUUCAAAAGGGUCCGGGCAAGUCAAAGGUAUGAAUCACAGCUUCCUGCUGUUGUUGGGGCUUGUUGGCACUUUGGGCAGCACUAAAGACACUGAGGUGAAUCACAGGUCAGAAAGAAAAUGAGGCCGGUUACACUUCACAUGAAGGAACAUAUAUUACCGUAUGUGAACACUUGCAUAUAGCCAUAUGUCUAUUAGCAGCAUGUUAGCCACUUAUCUAUUUAAGUUUAAAUUGUUUAUUAUUGUUCGUCUGUGGUCUUCAGUCUGAAGUGUAACCACCUUUUUCCCUUGCUGUCCUUGCUUAAAUGAACUCUAUUACAGAAUAGAUGAUCUGCAGCGGAAUUUUCCACAAUUUUUACUUUAACUUUAACAUAAUUAUUGGCCAUAAAAUAAAAUAGUUUAAUGUCAGUGUGGAAGAAAAGGUUGCAUUAAUGGCUGUGAUGGCUGUACAGCUCUACCACUACGCAACUGAGAUCUUGGUCAUCAUAUAUGAAAGGACUGGGUGAGAAACUUUAUUCAUUCUUGGCUCACCAUAUUAGUAAUUUAUUAUUCGUAUUUUUUUUUUUUUAAGGAAUGCCUCAUUCGGAAUGCUCUAAUUGUAUGGGUGACUUCAAAGGACGAGCCAGUGGAAACCAGCCUUCUCCACUCUCCCCCAUUGGGCCCCAAGUGUCCAUGGUGUUCUGGGAUCCUGCUGCAGCUCAUGUGGUGGACAUCAAAAGUAAAGUCCUCAAAGGUUUGCUGGAGCCGAUCCCAAAUCCAAAGUCAGAUGGACAGUUGGUGAUGAACAUGGGAGGAAACCGGAGUGCCUGAGGAAAGCCACGCCAGGACAGGGAGUAAAGCAAAACUCCACUCAGCUUUGAAGAUAAUUGAUGAGCGCUAUGCGUCAUUUAGAUCUGUUGUUUCAUUUAAGUUUUUUUUUAUGUCAGUCAAACUCGUAAGCGUUUCUCAUCUUUGUACUUGACAAUCUCUUUCUCAUCCCACGCACCACGACACGCAGCUUAAUUGCUUGUUUAACUGUAAAACGGUCUUUCAUUCUUGAGUCAUAAAUCCGAGGAGCAGCGUGGUGGUUUCCCCCAGUUUUCCCACGCAGCACGGCUCUUUCAAAGUCAAGACUCCUUAACAGCGGGUCGUGUUAAGUCCUUCCUGAUCUGCAAGA